AUAGAAGAAUGGACCAGGAGGCCGAGGGCAAAAAAGAAGGAACAGAAUGUAGACUGUAGUAUUUAUAUUCAACACAAGGUGGUGAUCUCCUAGUAUUAUCAGUGGAACGCAACAACAGGAAGUCAUGUUAGGUGAAGACAGGAAGUGAUGUCAGGUACAGACAGGAAGUGAUGUAAGAGUAUAAAGACAGGAAGUUCCAGGUGAAAGGUGAGUCGUGAGGAAUAAAAGAGAACACAUUACUGGGCCUGGCAGCAGAGUCACUGUGACGUCUUUUACCUUCAGUAGAUGAUAAUACAGUUGGAGUAUUUAGAAAGAACUCUACAAGGACGUCAUGAUGGAGAAUCAGCCGCCCCUCACAUCACCGGAUGGAUCCAGUAAUGGGAACCCACCAGAGAGAUGUCCUCGUCCUUUGUAUUCCCAGCUAACAGUGGGGCCCAAACUGUAGGGUGGUGCACAUUAUUGUAAAGGAGAGAGCAGUACGAAGGGUCCACCUAGAUCCCCCAUCAUCUGAUAAACACAUAGAAAC
Molecule: long non-coding RNA, 526 nt
Organism: Rana temporaria (common frog)
Lineage: Eukaryota; Metazoa; Chordata; Amphibia; Anura; Ranidae
Exons: 3
Source: RefSeq, a predicted model, not a curated record